GAAUAUUGGGCAAUGGUCGGAGGACUGACCCAGCCAUGCCGCGUGCAGGAAGAAGGCCUUCUGGGUUGUAAACUGCUUUUAUCUAGGAAGAAAACGCCCAUGCGUGGGAAACUGACGGUACUAGAUGAAUAAGCACCGGCUAACUCCGUGCCAGCAGCCGCGGUAAUACGGAGGGUGCAAGCGUUGUCCGGAUUUAUUGGGUUUAAAGGGUGCGUAGGCGGCCUUUUAAGUCAGUGGUGAAAGCCAACAGCUCAACUGUUGAACUGCCAUUGAUACUGAAAGGCUUGAGUACAGACGAGGUAGGCGGAAUUGAUGGUGUAGCGGUGAAAUGCAUAGAUACCAUCAAGAACACCGAUUGCGUAGGCAGCUUACUAGGCUGUAACUGACGCUGAGGCACGAAAGCGUGGGGAGCGAACAGG
This 419-nucleotide ribosomal RNA is filed under the name uncultured bacterium. Its description in RNAcentral is "bacterial SSU rRNA". It matches the Rfam family "Bacterial small subunit ribosomal RNA", at positions 359 to 776 of the family's 1533-position model. The record is from RNAcentral.